RNAcentral lists this ribosomal RNA (274 nucleotides) under uncultured bacterium. Its description in RNAcentral is "partial 16S ribosomal RNA". It matches the Rfam family "Bacterial small subunit ribosomal RNA", at positions 523 to 796 of the family's 1533-position model. The record is from RNAcentral.
AUACGGAGGGGGCAAGCGUUGUUCGGAUUUAUUGGGUGUAAAGGGUGUGUAGGCGGCAUAGUAAGUCAGAUGUGAAAUCUCUGGGCUCAACCCAGAAACUGCAUUUGAUACUGCUAAGCUAGAGUACCAAAGAGGCAAAUGGAAUUCUUGGUGUAAGAGUGAAAUCUGCAGAUAUCAAGAAGAACACCAGUAGCGAAGGCGAUUUGCUGGGUGGAUACUGACGCUGAAACACGAAAGCUAGGGUAGCGAACGGGAUUAGAAACCCCAGUAGUCC